UACAUAGGGGGCAAGCGUUAUCCGGAAUUAUUGGGUGUAAAGGGUGCGUAGACGGAGAAACAAGUUGGUUAUGAAAUCCCUCGGCUCAACCGAGGAACUGCAACCAAAACUAUUUCCCUUGAGUGUCGGAGAGGAAAGUGGAAUUCCUAGUGUAGCGGUGAAAUGCGUAGAUAUUAGGAGGAACACCAGUGGCGAAGGCGACUUUCCGGACGAUAACUGACGUUGAGGCACGAAAGUGUGGGGAGCAAACAGG
RNAcentral lists this ribosomal RNA (253 nucleotides) under uncultured bacterium. RNAcentral's name for it is "partial 16S ribosomal RNA". It matches the Rfam family "Bacterial small subunit ribosomal RNA", at positions 524 to 776 of the family's 1533-position model. The record is from RNAcentral.